Molecule: ribosomal RNA, 434 nt
Filed under: uncultured bacterium
Lineage: Bacteria
Description: bacterial SSU rRNA
Rfam family: Bacterial small subunit ribosomal RNA
Source: RNAcentral
GCUUAACGCGAAGAACCUUACCCACCUUUGACAUGUACGGAAUUUGCCAGAGAUGGCUUAGUGCUCGAAAGAGAGCCGUAAUACAGGUGCUGCAUGGCUGUCGUCAGCUCGUGUCGUGAGAUGUUGGGUUAAGUCCCGCAACGAGCGCAACCCUUGUCAUUAGUUGCUACGAAAGGGCACUCUAAUGAGACUGCCGGUGACAAACCGGAGGAAGGUGGGGAUGACGUCAAGUCCUCAUGGCCCUUAUAGGUGGGGCUACACACGUCAUACAAUGGCCGGUACAAAGGGCUGCAAACCCGCGAGGGGGAGCCAAUCCAUCAAAGCCGGUCGUAGUCCGGAUCGCAGUCUGCAACUCGACUGCGUGAAGUCGGAAUCGCUAGUAAUCGUGGAUCAGCAUGUCACGGUGAAUACGUUCCCGGGUCUUGUACACACCG